CGCGUAGGUGGUUUGUUAAGUUGGAUGUGAAAGCCCCGGGCUCAACCUGGGAACUGCAUCCAAAACUGGCAAGCUAGAGUACGGUAGAGGGUGGUGGAAUUUCCUGUGUAGCGGUGAAAUGCGUAGAUAUAGGAAGGAACACCAGUGGCGAAGGCGACCACCUGGACUGAUACUGACACUGAGGCGCGAAAGCGUGGGGAGCAAACA
This 207-nucleotide ribosomal RNA is filed under the name uncultured bacterium. RNAcentral's name for it is "partial 16S ribosomal RNA". It matches the Rfam family "Bacterial small subunit ribosomal RNA", at positions 568 to 774 of the family's 1533-position model. The record is from RNAcentral.